Long non-coding RNA from Calypte anna (Anna's hummingbird), 646 nucleotides. RefSeq lists it as uncharacterized. The record is from RefSeq and is a predicted model, not a curated record. NCBI's taxonomy places the organism in Eukaryota, Metazoa, Chordata, Aves, Apodiformes, Trochilidae. The transcript is spliced from 3 exons.
CAACCUCUGCUUUUAGCAAGAAGCAGAAAUGUGGCAUAAGGAUAUGUUACUUCUGAGUUGAUACCAAAUUGGUUUUGAAUAGAGCUGGAAUUCAAUUAAAAUGAACACAAACGUUUGUCUGACAGCAUCUUCAACCUCCCCCUGGCAAGAAAUUCAACAACUGAACUCAUUCACAUUGUACGAAGAAGUAUCUUCUCCUCUUUGCUUUGAAAUUGCCACCUACUAUCUUUAAACAUUCUUAAACAGCUAAUUAACAAGGAAUAAUUACACAUUCCACUGCUUGUGAUAAUAUAAAAGUUAUGAUGUGCCCUGUCUGAUCUGUUACUUGCUCCCUCAUAAGCAGGUAGUACAGUUAUUUAAACUUGAAUAAAUAUAAGACCCUCAAGCUGAGAAUCUGUUCAGGAAGAAGAGCCAAUAUGGAUGCCAUUUAAACAUUCUUGUGUAGUAAGGAGACCAAGACCAUAUCAAGCUUUUGAAAUUUCUGGCAAAAUAGUUGGCUGUGUUACAAACAUCAUCUAGCACUUUGGUUCAACACCUAAAUAUAGUCUAAGCUACCUAGCUUAGGCAUUCAUAUUUGAAAACUAGGUCUCCAUGAGUCAUUUACUUUAAUGAUGCUUAAUUGCCUCAAAUUUAAUCCUUUUUUAAA